This 253-nucleotide ribosomal RNA is filed under the name uncultured bacterium. Its description in RNAcentral is "partial 16S ribosomal RNA". It matches the Rfam family "Bacterial small subunit ribosomal RNA", at positions 524 to 776 of the family's 1533-position model. RNAcentral also lists the same sequence under 1 other name. The record is from RNAcentral.
UACGGGGGGGGCAAGCGUUGUUCGGAAUUACUGGGCGUAAAGGGUGCGUAGGCGGUUCGCUAAGUUGGAUGUGAAAACUCUGGGCUCAACCCAGAGCCUGCAUCCAAUACUGACGAGCUAGAGUUCUGGAGGGGGUAGCGGAAUUCCUGGUGUAGCGGUGAAAUGCGUAGAUAUCAGGAGGAACACCGGUGGCGAAGGCGGCUACCUGGACAGAGUCUGACGCUGAGGCACGAAAGCUAGGGGAGCAAACAGG